AGCAUAUCAAUAAGCGGAGGAAAAGAAACCAACAGGGAUUGCCCUAGUAACGGCGAGNGAAGCGGCAACAGCUCAAAUUUGAAAUCUGGCCUUCGGGUCCGAGUUGUAAUUUGUAGAGGAUGCUUUUGGUGAGGUGCCUUCCGAGUUCCCUGGAACGGGACGCCAUAGAGGGUGAGAGCCCCGUCUGGUUGGACACCGAUCCUCUGUAAAGCUCCUUCAACGAGUCGAGUAGUUUGGGAAUGNUGCUCUAAAUGGGAGGUAUAUGUCUUCUAAAGNUAAAUAUUGGCCAGAGACCGAUAGCGCACAAGUAGAGUGAUCGAAAGAUGAAAAGCACUUUGAAAAGAGAGUUAAAAAGUACGUGAAAUUGUUGAAAGGGAAGCGNUCAUGACCAGACUUGGGCUUGGUUGAUCAUNUAGGGUUCUCCNUGGUGCACUCUUCCAGCUCAGGCCAGCAUCAGUUCGCUGUGGGGGAUAAAGGCUUUGGGAAUGUGGCUCCCUCGGGAGUGUUAUAGCCCAUUGUGUAAUACCCUGUGGUGGANUGAGGUUCGCGCAUUCGCAAGGAUG
This 563-nucleotide ribosomal RNA is filed under the name uncultured fungus. Its description in RNAcentral is "eukaryotic LSU rRNA". It matches the Rfam family "Eukaryotic large subunit ribosomal RNA", at positions 37 to 625 of the family's 3401-position model. Lineage: Eukaryota; Fungi. The record is from RNAcentral.